This is a long non-coding RNA of Monomorium pharaonis (pharaoh ant), 2721 nucleotides long. RefSeq lists it as uncharacterized. The record is from RefSeq and is a predicted model, not a curated record. Lineage: Eukaryota; Metazoa; Arthropoda; Insecta; Hymenoptera; Formicidae. The transcript has 2 exons.
CUCUCUCUCUCUCUCUCUCUCUCUCUAAUCUCUUUCCUUUCCUUCUCUCUUUUAAAUAAAAUACACGCUGUCAAAUACGGUAAAGUACGCAAACUGACACAACAGACGCGCGCUACUUUACUUUUUAUUUUUUUAAAAUAAGUUACAACAAUAUUUGUAUAGAUAAUAUCUAUAUAAAUUUGACAGCUGUCAACAUUCAAUCGCAAUGACAGCUACUCUUGGAACACGAAGCGCAAUGAAAGAAUCAAUUGGCAUCGCGGAAAAGAGGCAACAAAAUUCGAUUCGGUUUAACAUCUCCUUUUUCAGAUAAAAGAUAUGAAAAAUUUAUGAAUUAAUGAUAUACAAAGUGUACGAAAAGUGUCAAAACUCUUUAAUAUUUAGAAAAAUAUGCAUUUUCAAAAAAAUAUUUUAUACAAAAGCUAUAGGGUUUUAUAUAACGAAUUAUGUGGCUAUAUAUUGUGACCUUGAAGAACGUUACCACAAUUACAUAAACCUAGAAAUUUUUGAUCGUCAACUGCCAAUUUUUAUUGCAUAUUGUUGUAAGCCAAAUUACAACCGAUAGAUUAGUAAUUCGAAACGCAUCAUCUUUCGAAAAGACGUUGCAAGAAGCAUUUCUUUCGAAAGACACACAGGAAUUCGCCGCGCUCACGGAAGUCCCAAGCAACUUCCGUGAGCUUACAACAUCGCGAGCUUACAACAUACGGAACCGCUCGGAAGCAGUUCCGUAUCGCCCUAGAAAUAAGGCUCUACGCUGCACAAUUAAAUCGCGAAAUGACCGUUUUCUAGUGUCGAAACGCUUAGCCUUGCGGAAGCCAUCAACACCCGGUCACUAGCCUCUAAAAAUCGUGCUAAGCCAGCAAGUCAUCCGGCUACAUAUGUACGUGCAGUGACCGGGCGGAGAAUAACUAACAAUGAGCUAUGUCAGUUUACUACACGCUUAUCGCGAGUGUCACCUAACCCCAUACGCGCAGCACAGCUGAUUGUAAACCAGAGACAAGAAUAACGACCUAAAGCAGAACAAGCAAGAAGCCGUCUUUUCAAUCAAUCUACGAGCCGAAUCCUCUCCCCUUCGGGUCCUAACCCCUAAGACAAACGAACCCUAGAUAUAUCUCGGGAAGAACUCCCGUUCAGAAUAAAACGCUCACAACAAUAUUCUUGUAGCUUACCAUGAAAGCUUUUCAAAACACUAUAUUUAAGUAUUUUUACUUAAGUACUUUUCAAGUUAUACAACUUAAAAUUAACAAUUAUAGCUUUUAUGCUAUUUGAUUACUCAAAUCCUAGUGCGUCGUGAGAAUUAAUAUUGUACACAAUUUCAUUUUGACACAUGCCUAAUCUAUUGGUAAUAGCUUUUUAUUUCAGCCUUGACAAUGUAAGAUAGUCCCUUACAUUGUGAGUCCCACAAUCCCUUUGAAUAUAAUUUGCUUAUACUUCUGUUUUACUUAUUAGUUAAUUGUUUGUUAUAAUAUUUCAUAGUACUUCUACAAUGCGUAAAAUCGCAAGAGCCAAAGAAUUUUUGGAUAUAUUUUUGAUACUUUUUGUGAUAUAAUAUUAUGUAUAAGAUAUUGAUAACUGAUACGUAAGAUCCGUCAAAAAGCAUUCAUUUUUUAUUUUUUAAAAAUAAAAAUAAUUUGAAAAUAUUUUUUAGUAAUGUUCCAUAUCCCCCUACAGGUUCCAUAACCACAAUCUUCUUUUCCUUUCAGUAAAUUGUUAAUUAUGUUCGUUAUAUAUAUUCAAAGAACUUCUGCAUCUGCUUAAAACAUAAUUGCUAGAAUUCUAUGGGUAACAAACCUGUAUCAACAAGUGUCAUACAAAAUUUUAUUGAGUUAUUUAAAUAAAACAAAAUUGUGAUUUUUAACCUCGGUUUUUUUUCUACUUCUUAUAAUCUUGCAAAGUAAAUAUAGGAGCGAUGCAUUUGCACACGAUUCAAAUAGACACGGUGCUUUUGGGCACAAUAUUUUGCGCACCAUUCAUUUGCACACUGUUCAUUUGCACACCGUUCAGUUGCACAUCGUUCAGUUGUAGACUGUUCAUUUGCACACCGUUCACAUAGACACAGUGAGAAAUAACUAUGCCUUCUUCUUCUUCUUCUUCUUCAAAUUCCCCAGAUGGAUUUCCGACACAUAAACGGGUCACAGUACCACGGUUUAGUCAGGUCAACGACCUUUAGCAGACUCUUGAAGAAGAUCAGUCUGCUAUUCUCAUAAAAAUAACUAUGCUGAGGGCACCCUACCGACGGAGUGGGUGUGAGAGGGGAGCUGAAGGCCUCUAUUGCACCCCCGCGCGCGCGCGCGCGAGGGUGUGUCCGUUUCUUUUCGUGUCUAACUGAACAGCGUGCAAGUGAGCAAUGUCCAACCGAGCGGUGUGCAAAUAAACGGUGCUUUUGAUUGAAAGAGAAUUAAUAUAUUUUUAGAAAACGCAUGGGCGGGGGACAGGCGGAGCCCCCUCCCCGUAUUUUUUCCUAACCCACCAAUUUUAUAUCGCUAUUUGGUUAAUGCGAAAACAUUGGAAACGAACAGCGUGAAGGUCAAGGUUAUUAGUGCAGGUUUCCCUAAUCAAAAUAUUUACCCUUGGCAAGAUCAAAUCGGAAUAAAAACAAAUCUAUUUAGUGAUUUAUUUAUUUUACUAACUUAUUAAUUUGUAUUACCAAUAAAAAUAACUCAUAUUGUUUUGGAAAAACAUGUGUGCAAAAUUGCUAACUUAAUAGUUAGAAUCAUAAAAAAA